AAUAGAUACCCCGGUAGUCCACGCUGUAAACGUUGGACACUAGGUGUGGCGGUCUGAUCAACGACUGCCGUGCCGAAGCUAACGCAUUAAGUGUCCCGCCUGGGGAGUACGGCCGCAAGGCUAAAACUCAAAGGAAUUGACGGGUCCCCGCACAAGCGGCGGAGCAUGCGGCUUAAUUCGAUGCAACCCGAAGAACCUUACCUGGGUUUGACAUCAUGGGAAAAGCCGUGGAAACACGGUGUCCGAAAGGGCCCAUGACAGGUGGUGCAUGGCUGUCGUCAGCUCGUGUCGUGAGAUGUUGGGUUAAGUCCCGCAACGAGCGCAACCCUUGUCCUAUGUUGCCAGCGGUUCGGCCGGGGACUCAUAGGAGACUGCCGGGGAUAACUCGGAGGAAGGUGAGGACGAUGUCAAGUCAUCAUGCCCCUUAUAUCCAGGGCUGCACGCAUGCUACAAUGGUCGGUACAACGGGCAGCGAUCCUGCGAAGGUGAGCGAAUCCCACAAAGCCGGCCUCAGUUCGGAUUGGAGU
Molecule: ribosomal RNA, 527 nt
Filed under: uncultured bacterium
Lineage: Bacteria
Description: bacterial SSU rRNA
Rfam family: Bacterial small subunit ribosomal RNA
Source: RNAcentral